Triticum aestivum (bread wheat) is the source of this 1110-nucleotide long non-coding RNA. RefSeq lists it as uncharacterized. The record is from RefSeq and is a predicted model, not a curated record. The transcript has 3 exons. Lineage: Eukaryota; Viridiplantae; Streptophyta; Magnoliopsida; Poales; Poaceae.
CGCGCGCGUGCUCCGCUUCCAAUCCUCCUCGCGGGGUUGCUGCGCCAGAGCCCAUACCCGCCUCAACCCUAGCCGCCACACCUCUCCUUCCUCCCUUGCUUGACACCAUAGGCGGUGCACCCCCUCCCCUCCUUCCUGCUCGGGCUGAUAGCCGCCAGCCGCUGCAUCCCUUCCCCCCCUUCCUCCUCCUUCCUCCUUCCCGUUGGCGCCCCUCGCCCUCGUCCACGGACAAGGGGCCUUCCGCAGGGAUGGCGACGUCUUUAAACCAGGGGUAGUGGAGCAGGGGAUGGCCAAGAAGCCGACACUGGGGGGAGCAGCCAGGCCAAGGAGGACCCAGGUGGUGGAUGCGUCAUGGGGUUAAGGAGAGGCCAAUGAUAGGGAUAAGUAGGAGGAGUGCCAUGGAUCUAUAGGGAAAGGAGGGUGACGCCCUCGGCGGGCAUCCGAGCAGGAAGCCGGCGGGUAGCAUGUCAUCGUAGGCGUCAAGGGAGCCAUGGACAAGCCACCAGGAGGAGAAAGCUCCUAGUUUGUGGUGGAUACUAUGAGACAGAUACAAACCAAGUGUAAUCAAAGAGGAUAUGGAUUCAGUAUGGCCAUGAGUGAAGGAAUGUUACUCCAAUUUGGUACUUUAGUUUAUUGUUUUCACUUAGUCUGUAUUAGCUUAACAAAUAACAUUUGUGGGACAACUACUAUUUGAACAUGGAUUUUUUCAGGAUCUUGGAGAAUGUUUUCGCAGUGUGGUCCAGGUUAAAUUGUUGUCCUACUAUUCCUGCUCAGCCUUCUAUUGUUCUAUGUCUUCGCAAGGACUUCUUCCAGCUUCUCUAUUGGUGUUCUCUUCACACCGAUGGAGUUCAAGGGUGAUGACUGAAAGUUUUGUCAUUACUGGCUAACACUUGGCGACAACGUGUUCAUCAGAAAUGAUCUGAUUAUGCUCUGUUGUAUUAUAUUUCCUACUUUUUUGUAAAUAUGUAUUGAUGUACAUGCACACUCUGUCCAUGCCUGAAAAAGACCGUCAUCCCUUAGUGGCAAAGAUGAUUUUGUUGAACAAUUUCUGUAUAUGUUACAUAGCGUAUUCUUUCCAAUGUAGAAGGUAGUUGCCGACUCUGCAUUGCU